This 379-nucleotide ribosomal RNA is filed under the name uncultured eukaryote. RNAcentral describes it as "partial 18S ribosomal RNA". It matches the Rfam family "Eukaryotic small subunit ribosomal RNA", at positions 592 to 976 of the family's 1831-position model. The record is from RNAcentral.
CAAUAGCGUAUAUUUAAGUUGUUGCAGUUAAAAAGCUCGUAGUUGGAUUUCGGAUGGGAUUUGCCGGUCCGUCGUUACGAUGUGAACUGGCCAGUCCUAUCUUGUUGUCGGGGACUAGCUCCUUGGAUUCACUUCCUGGGACUAGGAGCUGACGAGGUUACUUUGAGUAAAUUAGAGUGUUCAAAGCAAGCCUACGCUCUGAAUACAUUAGCAUGGAAUAACACGAUAGGACUCUGGCUUAUCUUGUUGGUCUGUGAGACCAGAGUAAUGAUUAAGAGGGACAGUCGGGGACAUUCGUAUUUCAUUGUCAGAGGUGAAAUUCUUGGAUUUAUGAAAGACGAACUUCUGCGAAAGCAUUUGUCAAGGAUGUUUUCAUUAA